UACGAGUGCUCCAAGCGUUAUCCGGAAUCAUUGGGCGUAAAGGGUGUGUAGGCGGCUCUGUUAGUCUUGUGUCAAAUCUCCCGGCUUAACCGGGAACCUGCACAGGAAACGGCAGAGCUCGAGGAUGCGAGGGGUGAGCGGAACUCAUGGAGUAGGGGUGAAAUCCGUUGAUAUCAUGGGGAACACCGAAAGCGAAGGCAGCUCACUGGCGCACUCCUGACGCUGAAACACGAAAGCGUGGGUAGCGAAUGGG
RNAcentral lists this ribosomal RNA (253 nucleotides) under uncultured prokaryote. RNAcentral describes it as "partial 16S ribosomal RNA". It matches the Rfam family "Bacterial small subunit ribosomal RNA", at positions 524 to 776 of the family's 1533-position model. The record is from RNAcentral.